GGUCGUGUGGCCCAGUGGUUAUGGGCACCUGCACUCAAAUUGCGGGAGGUCGCAGGCUCGAACCCUGCCACGAUCA
Rhypophila decipiens is the source of this 76-nucleotide non-coding RNA. The record is from the annotation of a GenBank genome assembly. NCBI's taxonomy places the organism in Eukaryota, Fungi, Ascomycota, Sordariomycetes, Sordariales, Naviculisporaceae.